RNAcentral lists this ribosomal RNA (426 nucleotides) under uncultured bacterium. RNAcentral describes it as "bacterial SSU rRNA". It matches the Rfam family "Bacterial small subunit ribosomal RNA", at positions 355 to 796 of the family's 1533-position model. The record is from RNAcentral.
UGGGGAAUUUUACGCAAUGGGCGAAAGCCUGACGUAGCGACACCGCGUGAGCGAAGAAGCCCUUUGGGGUGUAAAGCUCUGUCGGCAGAGACGAAUAAAUGACGGUACCUGCAGAGGAAGCAUCGGCUAACUACGUGCCAGCAGCCGCGGUAAGACGUAGGAUGCGAGCGUUGUCCGGAUUCAUUGGGCGUAAAGAGUUCGUAGGCGGUUUGUUAAGUCUGAUGUUAAAGAUCGGGGCCCAACCCUGGGAGUGCAUUGGAUACUGGCAGACUGGAGUGCAGUAGAGGCAAGUGGAAUUCCCAGUGUAGCGGUGAAAUGCGUAGAUAUUGGGAAGAACACCGGUGGCGCAGGCGACUUGCUGGGCUGUAACUGACGCUGAGGAACGAAAGCUAGGGGAGCAAAUGGGAUUAGAUACCCCCGUAGUCC